This is a long non-coding RNA of Xenia sp. Carnegie-2017, 499 nucleotides long. RefSeq lists it as uncharacterized. The transcript is spliced from 3 exons. Lineage: Eukaryota; Metazoa; Cnidaria; Anthozoa; Malacalcyonacea; Xeniidae. The record is from RefSeq and is a predicted model, not a curated record.
AUUUUGUUGGGCAUGGAAAAUCUCUAAUGUCUAUCGUUCGCAACUUUUUAGCAGACGUCGAAAAGCAAGAAGAAAUCAAAUUUUUACAGAUGCAAUAAGGUGGGGCACGCCCCUGAAGAGUGCCCUACCAAACCGCGUCGAGGAAGCAGGGUAGCCGGAGAGGCCCCGGCGGACGGCGUAGUCGGCGUAGCCCAAUGGCGUGGCUGCGGAGGAUGGCGUGGCCAAAUAGUCAUAAAUAUAUUUACAAGGGAGUCAAGACGUUAUCCAUAAGAAAAAGUUUAAAACAAUCUCUAAAAAAAAUAAAAAUAUUCUGAAAAACAUCUUUCCUGUGUCCAAUCAUUAUUACAAACAACUAUUCAUUAUCAAACAAUAAAAUUCGCCCUGAUGGGGGGCAAAUUUAGGUCCCUGUUGUAUUGCGACCUUGUUUCGUGAAGCACUAAAAAAGUAUACACGAAGACAUAAUCAUUUUGCCAUCUGCUAUCCUGUUUUUGUUUGGCUU